GGAAUAUUGCCCAAUGGACGAAAGUCUGAGGCAGCAACGCCGCGUGCACGAUGAAGGCCUUCGGUCGUAAAGUGCUUUCUGGGGAGAUGAGAAAAGGACAGUAUCCCAGGAAUAAGCCCCGGCUAACUCCGUGCCAGCAGCCGCGGUAAUACGGGGGGGGCAAGCGUUGUUCGGAAUUACUGGGCGUAAAGGGCUCGUAGGCGGCCGACUAAGUCAGACGUGAAAUCCCUCGGCUUAACCGGGGAACUGCGUCUGAUACUGGUUGGCUUGAAUCCGGGAGAGGGAUGCGGAAUUCCAGGUGUAGCGGUGAAAUGCGUAGAUAUCUGGAGGAACACCGGUGGCGAAGGCGGCAUCCUGGACCGGCAUUGACGCUGAGGAGCGAAAGCCAGGGGAGCAAACGGGAUUAGAUACCCCGGUAGUCUUGGCCCUAAACGAUGAAUGCUUGGUGUGGCGGGUAUCGAUNCCCUGCCGUGCCGAAGCUAACGCAUAAGCAUUCCGCC
This 500-nucleotide ribosomal RNA is filed under the name uncultured bacterium. Its description in RNAcentral is "bacterial SSU rRNA". It matches the Rfam family "Bacterial small subunit ribosomal RNA", at positions 358 to 873 of the family's 1533-position model. The record is from RNAcentral.